RNAcentral lists this ribosomal RNA (290 nucleotides) under uncultured bacterium. RNAcentral's name for it is "partial 16S ribosomal RNA". It matches the Rfam family "Bacterial small subunit ribosomal RNA", at positions 334 to 616 of the family's 1533-position model. The record is from RNAcentral.
GUGGCCUACGGGGCGCAGCAGUGGGGAAUAUUGCGCAAUGGGCGAAAGCCUGACGCAGCGACGCCGCGUGAGGGAUGAAGGUCUUCGGAUCGUAAACCUCUGUCAGCAGGGAAGAACGGUCACUGUGCUAAUCAGCAGUGAAUUGACGGUACCUGCAAAGGAAGCACCGGCUAACUCCGUGCCAGCAGCCGCGGUAAUACGGAGGGUGCGAGCGGUAAUCGGAAUUACUGGGCGUAAAGCGCUCGUAGGCGGGAUGUCAAGUCAAUGGUGAAAGCCCCGCGCUCAACGUG